AAUCAGAUCUGUGUCACAUUUGUGUCACUCCAACCGGGUAAACUGAUCCGGCUUUCCACCUCAGUGAGCAGCCUAGCACUAGUGAAUAAAUACAUAAACACACAAACUGUAGAUUUGUUUUGGGUAGAGCUAGUUUGUAGACAUAGUGUCUGUAACUGGCACAUGGUUGGUCUCCAAGCAGAGAUCUUGUCAUGGAGAGCAAUAUGGCACUCUUUAAAAUAAAAAAAUAUAUACAAAACAAUGAGUUCUUUACACUCAGCCUGUCAUUACUUGACAGCCACUUAUGAGCCUCUUACGCAAACAGAAAAAAAGUUUCUCCACAUUGGCAUCCGUUUAUCCGGAGAGAAAAAAACAGGGGGAAAAGUCGAGGAAAUCGAGUUUGUCAUUUACAGCGAUGUUAUUUCAGUCCCUCUCCCACUUUUCCACUGUGUCCUUGUUGCCUUUCCCAUUACUGACCACUUUAGCAGGCAGCAGCGUGCCACAUGGGACCUGGUCAUGAUUCUCUGAGAGAGUCCAGACCUCUGCUGUGAGAAAGAAACACACAGAGGAAUGAGGGAAAGAAAGAAUGAAAAAAUGCAUGAGACGGACAGAAAGCAAUCCAUAGAAACUGUAAGUGAGAAGAAAAGAGGAAAGCGUCCAUAACUGAAAUCCAUUGACCCACAGAGAGAGAUAUACACAGAGAGGGAAUGAGUGAGUGUGUGUGUGUGUGUGUGUGUGUGUGUGUGUGUGUGUGUGUGUGUGUGUGUGUGUGUGUGUGUGUGUGUGUGUGUGUGUAAUGGGCGUUGUUCCAGUGCCUCCUCAGGUCUCUCUUCUGUUUGUAUAGGACUAUUCAUGCCCUUAUUAGGUUCAGUGUUACAGACAGAAAGUUCAGCGCGCAGACUCGUGGGCAACAGCUGGAAUGGUUUACUUUACAGUUUUAUUUUAAGAACAUUUAAAUAGCUUAAAGGUGGCAUCAGCAAUUUUGAAACGUUCCCAAGAACAUGUCAUUAACAGCAUUAAGAUAAUCCACAUCGAAUAAUACUUCCCUGAGAAACUCAUUAAAAAAUCAAAGUGUCUAUGAAUAUACACGAUUAUGCAAAUCUGCAUAAUCCCCCCCCCCAUGCCCUCAUGCCUUCCCUAAAUAUUAGUAAAUAUUAGCAAACUUAGCCGACUGUCUAGCAAAUUGCUAGGCUGUCACAUGUUUAUGGAUUUUUAUGAAGUUAUAUUAUCAAUGAUAAAUUUCACAAGGUAAAACUCAGUACGUAUUACCAUAACAGACUUUAUUUUGUUUAGUACUAACACUAGGUUAUCCAUCUAGCUCACGUAUCAUGCAGGUUCUGUUUAUGUAUGCAAGGAGGGAAGUUUUUUUUUAGUGGCAUGACAAUCGCAGCUGUUACCUAGCCCCACCCCCUAAUAAGUUUUAUAAUAGGAAUAUAAUAAAAGUGACUUUUUACAAAUUUGACCCAAACACCAAUCCGUAUAUACAUAUUUAAUAUUAGAUGGAUAAGAUAAAGCAGCCAUCUUUCAUUUUUGUGUCGUCAAACAAAAAGUAAAUACUAAACUGCAGGUAGGAAUUGAAGUUGUGAGUGGGGAACUGAAGAAAUGUAGGACCACAUGCAUCAUAGGAUUAGUCUGAGAAAUCAUUUGAGCCAACUGUUUGGAUUGGUCACGACUAAUUUGCAUAGAAUUGAGAAAAGUGUCGCACUAUAACUGAAAUUGCGGCUCCGUGUCAUGUUGUCACCUACUGGCGUUUUGCAGUGUGAUUUGAGGAGUAUACAUCGAUUGCAUUCGUGACUUUCGAGCAUGUUCUUGCGAAUUUUUUUUUAGAUUUAUACUUUUUUUCUGGCGUUAUACUUUAAUUUGAGUAAAUAUCUGGAAGCUGCACUAGAACUUCCUAAAACUUGUUAUUUUCGAGUAUUUUAUGAAUGAUUUGUGAAUUUCAACCACCUCUAGUUGAUGUUCACAUAAUCAUCGUUAAUGAAAACGCAGAUCUUUUGAACUGAAUGAAAUAAACAGCAACGGCCACAUCCACUAGCGAUCGGAAUUUCGACUCAUUAGUAAUUCGGAACAUUCGGUUCAAUAAUAGUCGAGUCUUUCAUCUCCAAAAUGACAGUUUCUCUAAAGUUUGCGUUUUUUCGUUCAGCGAAAAGGCUAUUUCGAAUAAAUGAACAUAGCUUCAGUAUUGGAUAUGUGCUAUGUUUCCAAACAGCCAGCAUCAGAUAAAUUCCGCAUCGAUACAAUCAUUGUGGUUUUAACAGCAAUCGGCCUGACUCGUUUCGAACAUAAUACGGUAUAUACACUAAACACACGCUGAGGCAAAAGUGUAAUGCAGCGUAACUGCCAGAGGCUCCGGCGAGGUUUGAGAUUAAAAAUGUAUGCAUUACAUCUCAGCAGGGGCUAGUUUACCACCAAACCGAGUGUACAUUUAGAGUAUUCGCAGUGUGGCGCAGUACAGAGCGAUGCACAUUAAUGAGAGGGCAGAGGCAUGUUUUUGAAGAAAGCCUUCGGGUAUAACCUGCAGGUGCUCGAAUAGGGAAGAACGUCUGGUUUAACAACACGGAAGAGCCACAAAACAACAACACGUGACACUUGACUGAGCAAACGGUUCAUGCAGAUUAUCAACCGUUUCUUUUUUUUCUUCCAGAAAACAGCCCAAAACAUGAGACAUAAAACUUUUCUAUAAGAAUACUCACUGGGUAAAAUCAUUGUAAUGGUGUCAUGUAAAUACCGGAGAAGGACUAGAGUCUACUGUACGAUUCCAAUCGGCCACUGCACCUCAUCUAAUCACGUCACAUGACUGUCUGCACCGGAUUCACUUUUGGUGAUAAUGAUCACUAGUCACGUUUUGCACUGCACACGUUGUCUUGCAUUUGUCUUAUGUUGUCUAGUUUCUUAGUUCAUGUUAUUUCUCUCUGCCCAUAGUUCAUAGUUCAUGUAUUUAGUGUAUUGUAUUAGUACUUGUGUUUUGUUUGAUUAAAUUCAUAUCUGCACUCACAUCCACUUUUGCCUCCAAAACCUCACAAAUGGUUAUACGCUAGAAAUCCCUAAAGAUUGCUUUUAAUGGAGUCCUGAGUAAGACACUCUGCCCCAAGUUUUUAAUUGCAUAAAAGAGCGAGGAAGCUCUGAUGGAUCACGGGAAGUCAUAUAAUCAAUAAAUUAUACCCAGCAGAGACUUUAAACUGGGUUUACAGCAAAGUUGUAAAAUAAAGUAUUGUGCAGAAUCCACAGAACAACAUGAGCAUAAUGUUUAGUAGCGUCCGUACAAUCUAUCGUGCGAUGCUCAUGUAAACAAUUACAGAUAUUAAUGUUUAUGAUAAACACAUACACAGAUUAAGCACUCGUCCAGCCACAUGCACUGUGUCUCUAACAAGCCACAGCUGAUCCCGGUUUCUAUGAAGUUAAAAAGCGUUCGCAUUUGCACAGAACAAGUCAGGCCAGUUUGGAAGCACAAGCCCUGAGGGACAGGGAGGAGGCUCAGGUUCACUCAAACACCAAACAUUACUCAGACCUCUUACUCAGGCCGAUCCCAAACAAGGCCUCCUCGACAAGACAGCUCUGUCGGCAGGGCUUGAAAAAGGAAAUCAAACUGAUUUCGAAACGCUCUUCCAAUUAUCCCUGGACUAGGAGCUCUAACAUUGAAUGGAUGGUGGGGUAACACCUCGAAAAUUUGAGCAACCUGAAGGAUUUGAAAGCUUCGCUACACCGUCUGUCAACACGUCCAAUUGGAGAUGGGUUGCGAAUAUGUUUUCAGCUCGAGUCAUUCUCACAGUCUGGUGCUGCCACUUUCAGUCCCAGAUUAAUUAACAACUAACGACUUUGCCCUAAAAUACACCUAAAAAAAAAACUGUUUAUUGUCUGGUAUAAACAUUAGUACGCAGCAAAGAAUAUUUGGUGGCGAGGACAGCCAUCUCGACCUUGACGGGCGGCGACCACGCAGUAGACCCAAGAAACGAUGGACGGACCGAAUCAAGGAGGACACGCGACACGUGAACGCCCCCGAAGGCGCCUUUGAUCGAGCCAAACGGAGACGGACGUGACGACAAGCGGACCCCGCCAUAGGUGGGAAUAACGCUAGAAGAAGAAGAAGAAGAAGAAGAAGAAGAAGAAGAUUGUCUGGCAUAAAUCAUGCUGUGUAUUAGGGGUGUUACUGUAUACACACAAGCCAGUGAUGAAAAUAAAAAAGAAAUUUUUAUACUGGAUUUUUGUACUGUCUUGUACUGUCAACCAUUCUGUGGAUAUCCACUUCAACAAAAUCAAAAGGAAAUGAUUGAAAUAUACUGAACUAUACAGUGGGGUCCAAAAGUCUGAGACCACUAGUGAACAUGAGUUUCUUCGUAUUUGAUACACAUCCCCUUUUUUGCUUUAAUGACAGUGUGUGCUCGAGCUGGCAUGGACUCCACAAGUUUGUGCAAAACCUUAUGAUCCAUUUUAGGUCAAAUCCAUAGGAGUAUCGUCUGAUCACAUGCUUCAUUUAAAUAGAGACUUAGAAAUGUGGCAGCGGUGGCUUGGCAGUUAAUUACCUAGGGGUAAUUUAGAGUCAUCAUUCCACCCAACUGACAUACUUUUAGGAGGUUGGAGGAAACCAGAGAACCCAGAGGAACCCACACGGGUACAGAGAGAACAUACAAAACUCCACACAGACAGUAACAUGAGCCCGAGAUUGAACCGGGGACCCUGGAGAUGUGAGGCUGCAAAACUAUCCGCUACACCACAAUGCAGUGGUAAUUACCAAAAAAUGGAUUACACUAUGCAGUCGUAGGCCAGUCAUGCACUUAAAAACUUGUAUAGGUCUAGAGUUCAGACUUGAUCUGUGCUGCGAGCAUGCUGAGAAGAUAGCUAAAUCAACACCGCCACAUAAACACCAACACAAACAUCAACACAGCAACUCAAGGAUCACAAGUCUGAUCCACACAUCUCUUCCUGGAAUUGGCAGGGCACUUAAAUGCAUUCCCCAGGCAACAAAAAAGGAACAGAUGAAAAAACAAAAGUGUCGAUGCUGAGGAGGGAUAGAUGGAGGUUAAAAGCCUCCCAGCUUUCCGAAUGUGCUGACUCAUUGCAAUCACACUGAGAGCUGCGGCUCACCAGAACAUCCUGACUCUUACAGUACACCAUCUCAAUUCCUAUCAGUUAGAACGGCUAAACCUAAAGCUGGCGUCCUUACUGUGAUAUCUAACAAACAAUAUUGUUAUCAUGGACACUUCUAAAUAUUACAACCACCCCCAAAAAUAAAGGCAGAAAACACUUUAAGCAGCGUCCACAUGCUUUCAGAUCAACAGAAUGCUUUUAGGCUCUGAAAAUGUGUGGACUGAGUGCAGAGCCCUGAGGGACACGUUGAGUAACAGAUUUGUGCUUGUUGACGAGGCACCCUAAUGCAGUUAGAUACAUCGUUAAGUAAAGAAUAGAACACUUCAGGGUAUGCUGUUACAGGAAAAUAUUUCAGCGACAGUUUGGUGUGAUAAAGCGUAGUUCCUGUUAUCAUCCUGAAGUUGAUUAUUUUCAUUUAAUAUCACAUCCUGAAGCAUUUUAUUCAUCUUAUCCAACAGCCAUAAAGAUCUGCCAAUGCUAACCAUUUUUAGCAUAUAUUACAGUACAUUUGAACUGUUUAUGGUUAUAGUAAGUUAGUUCCUGUUAUCACUUACGUUAUAGAAGCUAUAAACAGUCAUUCCCUCACUAGCCUCUUGUUUUUUUUACUCUAUCUUGUUAAAAAAGACAAAAAAAAACAAUUUGUCAUGUUAGUGAGAAACCACAACACAUAAACUCCACUGUCCUCACAGCUUUAACCUCACAGUUACAGCUUUAACUCAGACUUUCAGAAGCAGGACAAUCUAGCAAAGACAUGCAGAUUUCUGAAUUAAACAGAGGCUUUAAUUACAGUAAUCAAGAGGCAGACAACCCAAUAAAACACUAAGAAAAAGCAAAGCAGUAAGGAAAAGGCAAAACAUAGUGAACAAAACACUAAAAGGCAAACAAAACUUAGCAACGAGGCUAACAAACUGGGCGUGAGUGGGCGUGGCUAAUGGUGGGGGAUUGAAGUUCUCAGAGAAAGCAGUGGUUAUGAUGCUGACUGUUACAAAGCGAUGACACUCAAGGCUCUGUCCAGAAAUAUUAAAUAAAUAAAUAUCUCCUCACUGAAAAUUUCACCACAGCAACGAUUACGUGUGUUCAUUUCAACCGGUUCACAUGGAGUGCCCACCGUACAAGCCCCUGUGUAUGUUGUUACUACAGAAACGAUAACGCAUUACAAUGAGUGCAUUAAUAUAAACGUCAGACCUGCUGUUGUAGAAAAUCAAGCAACAUUUCCCGACCAAUCAGAUUCGAGCAGGCAACAGCGCUGUGCAAUAAGCAAGGCAAGGGCCAGAGACCGUGCCUUGGAGAACGAAAGCAGCCAAAACACUGCAGAAGGGUCAGCCAAGAGGACACACUGAUUCAUGCUAGAAAAUGGCUUGUUUAGAGACAGAGAGCAGGAUGAAGAGCUUCCUCUCCUUUGUGUCCUCUCACCAUGCACCAGGAAUAUAAUACGCUAGAUAAAGACGUUGAUAAUUGACUUACACUCCAGGUUUCCAUUAACUACCUAGAUCUUUUAAUUUCAGGCUAAUUGCUUUCGACACUUAUUUGUCAUGAAGUAUUUUGUCGUUUUAAAUACAGGAUGUGUGCAGGGGUUUGUGGGUCCACAGAAUCCACUUGAGAUACAGUGUUGUGGUGAAUAGAGCUGGAAUAAUGCUGAUGAUGUCACUAAAGCGCCGGGGCUCAUUACCACCUACUCAACCCUCUUAAAAUUACCAUGGCAACAAAGUAGCCCCCAUGUCCCAUAAUCAGCACAGCUUGUUCUAGGGCUGAGUGAGUCCUCACACCGACGGCAGUCCAGUGUGGCAUUAAAGUCGCUGAAGGAAUCCAUUCAUGACAGACAGCUGUAGGAGGAGGCACAAUCCUAUCCUCACGAAAUGAACGUAACUACUUAAUGCAAUCACGCGAGUCCCUGACGUCCCUUUCGGCGCAAUAUAGAGCUAUGAAUUCCAUAAUUGCAUUUAGCAUGGUAUAUUUUUGAGUCUAUUACAAAAACCGGAACAAUACCGAAAGUGAUGUUUUAAAUCUCAAGUCUCUUGAAAACGACGCCUCACUUUUUACAUGUUCUCAUUCGCUAUCUCUCGAUCGCUUUAUCCCACAUUCUUCAUGAGGAUGGAUUUUUAUUCUCUGUGAUGAUUUCUGCAUUGGACAUGACCGCAUUCACCCUUUGGCUAGAAAAAACAGAAAGCUUGGGAACAUUCCACACAGACUGAGCGAGACCACCGGCUUUAGCUCUACACACACAUACACACACACUCCUCCCCACUCGCAUUCACCAACAUUACGGAAGCAGGACAACAAGCCCCAAAAGGCACUCGGGUAAUGAUCGUAACAUUUGCAGACCUCUAAUGUGUUCUAAUGUGCAAACAAGCGAUGAGAAUUCGAGAGCAGCGGUGACAGAGCAGAGCUUCGAGAAAAAGUGCUCUGACUUGUUUUCACUGCCUCUCAAAUACCAGGAAGUGCCACCUCACGGAUUUGAGUUGCAAAUAAAAGUGCUGUUGCAAAUCAAUCUGCAGGUCACACAGACAAAUGUCAGCUUCUAACCCUACCACACCUCCCACACCUUGAACACACACAAACACUGAUAGUCUGAGAGUCCUGGGACAGGACGGGUCUAAACAAGUUCUAAUCAAUCAAGAGUAACUGUUCAAGUGGGAUUACAACUAUAGUUCAGCUAACAAUUUUAGGUUAGCAGGAUGUUUUCUGUAGGUUUGGCUCUGAGAAACAAAACAUUCAUUGCUUGCAGCCAUCAUUGUUAGCUAUUAAGAUACAUAUCUUUAUGUCCCCAUAAUAGACUGUAAAACAGUGCAGGUCUAUGGAGAGAGGUGGGACUGCUUUUGUUUUUGCUUUUGUUAAAUGUCAUAAAUGUCUGAAUUUCUAAAUUAAAAAAAAAAAAAGAAUACACUGCAAGACCAAGCAGUCUUUUUUUUAAGUGUUUUAUUUAAAUCCCUAACACCACUGUCUAAAAAUAACAAUAAUACAGUGUGUUGCGUAAGUAUUCACCCCCUGACAUUUUUGGACAGCUGCCUGUGCUAUAUUCAUUCUUUCCAUUUAAAAAAAAUAAAAAAAUAAAAAAAACUGAUUUAAUGUUGCUCUGCAGGAUUUUCAAAGUUUGGGAUAUUUUUUUUUAGAAGCACGCCCUGAUUGAAAUGAUUCUAGUACUGUGUCCCAGAUUUAUUUUUGAUAGCUCUUUCAUCAAUUCAUAAAAGUUGUUUGUUUAGGUAUGGUCUAAUUGUAUGUCUUGGAAAAUAAUGGAAACUCAUUGCACCAGAACUAAUUUACACAACUUUAACGUUUCUUAAUCGUAAAUCAUUUUGAAAACUACAGUAGAACUCCUAUAUCCACUGUUUCGGUAAUUUGGAUCAGAAAAUUCCAGAAAUACAGUAAACAUUCAUAAAUGGAAAUUGUGUGUCGUUCUGAGUGACAUGAUGAACUCUCGUACAGCGCUACCCCUGGUCUUAAUCAUCCACACCGUUAGUCACUUAGUAACUGUCUCGGUUAUCAGAUCAACUCUCACGGUAUCGCAGUGCGUGUGUUCAAGUAACCCUUAUUUUGCCUAAUAAUGGCCACAAAGUGCAAAAGUGGUGAUGCGGGCAAAUCGGACGUGCCAAAGAGAAGUGGUAAAAUGCUUCCUUUAAGUGAAAAGGUGAAAAUUCUCGAUUUAAUAGGGAAAGAAAUAAAAUUCAAUUCAAUUCAAUUCAAUUUUAUUUGUAUAGUGCAUUUAACAGUGGACAUUGUCUCAAAGCAGUAUUAUAGAAACAUAUAAACACAGCAUACAGAUUUUAAGCAUAUGAAUUAAUCCCUAUUGAGCAAGCAGGUGGUGACGGUGGUGAGGAAAAACUCCCUAAGAUGAUCUGAGGAAGAAACCUUGAGAGAAACCAGACUCAGAAGGGAACCCAUCCACAUCUGGGUAACAACGGAUGCUGAGGUUGCCAGGAUGUACGACCUGGACUCGGCCUGUGACAACAGCUUGUCCUUCGUGCAAACAACAUCAAGUGCCUGUGUCCAGCAGUUUAGCCUCCAUGCGUCACUGCAUGUUUACCUACACAUGGGCCUUCAGUGGAAAAGUACAGCGAGCAACCCGAGCAUCCAGCCAAGACGCAGAAGUACGGACGGAAAUUCGUUUCUUUAUAAGAGAAACAGGUUGUGUACUUGAGUGUUCCAAUGAACCAAAUUUAUAUCUGUAGUUUAAACAAAUGCUCAUUUGCUUAUGUUUGCUACUCGUAGGUCCAUGAGUUUUGAAAUGGCCCAAUAUGGAUGAACUUUAACAGGUUAUAUAAGUCAAAUGUGUAGCUUUGGCAGGAAAUGUUCUCCUAAACAUUUGGAGGGGAGUGAAUUAUCCACCGUAAUCAUGUCAGUGUAACCCAUUCUAAUGUUUAUAUCAUAUA
Molecule: long non-coding RNA, 9431 nt
Organism: Ictalurus punctatus (channel catfish)
Lineage: Eukaryota; Metazoa; Chordata; Actinopteri; Siluriformes; Ictaluridae
Exons: 3
Source: RefSeq, a predicted model, not a curated record